This 274-nucleotide ribosomal RNA is filed under the name uncultured bacterium. RNAcentral's name for it is "partial 16S ribosomal RNA". It matches the Rfam family "Bacterial small subunit ribosomal RNA", at positions 523 to 796 of the family's 1533-position model. The record is from RNAcentral.
AUACGGAGGGUGCGAGCGUUAAUCGGAAUUACUGGGCGUAAAGCGUACGUAGGCGGUUUGCUAAGUCAGAUGUGAAAGCCCCGGGCUUAACCUGGGAACUGCAUUUGAUACUGGCAGACUAGAGUAUGAUAGAGGGGGGUAGAAUUCCUGGUGUAGCGGUGAAAUGCGUAGAUAUCAGGAGGAAUACCAGUGGCGAAGGCGGCCCCCUGGAUCAAUACUGACGCUGAGGUACGAAAGCGUGGGUAGCAAACGGGAUUAGAUACCCUAGUAGUCC